CCCUUAGAUGUUCUGGGCUGCACGCGUGUUACAAUCGGGAGUACAACAAGAUUGCAAAUCCUAGUGGAUGAGUGGUUCUUCGAAAUUUUCUGAAGACUGGGAUAGUUGAUUGAAAUUAUUCAACUCGAACGGGGAAUUCCUUGUAAUUGUAAUUCAUUAUAUUGUAAUGAAUACGUCCCUGCCCUUUGUACACACCGCCCGUCGCUCCUACCGAUUGAACGAUCCGGUGAAUUAUUUGGAGUAGCUCUGGAAGUUGCAGAACUUCCUAUGUCACGAAAUUUUGUAAACCUUAUCGUUUAGAGGAAGGAAAAGUCGUAACA
RNAcentral lists this ribosomal RNA (320 nucleotides) under uncultured eukaryote. RNAcentral's name for it is "partial 18S ribosomal RNA". It matches the Rfam family "Eukaryotic small subunit ribosomal RNA", at positions 1470 to 1796 of the family's 1831-position model. The record is from RNAcentral.